Molecule: long non-coding RNA, 918 nt
Filed under: Gadus morhua (Atlantic cod)
Lineage: Eukaryota; Metazoa; Chordata; Actinopteri; Gadiformes; Gadidae
Description: lncRNA (ENSGMOG00000031871.1)
Source: RNAcentral
GUUGCAAGCCGCAGGGAGGGGCGGGUCAGCGGGCACAGUCGGGUAUAAGGUUGGCACAGGUGGGUCUGUAAGUGGUACUUGAAGUCGUCCGUCAGAAUGGCCUCUUCAGCUCUGCUCUUGUCUCUCCUGCUGCUCUGUCUCUCAGGGAUCCUCGCUCAAACUACAGGUCAGCUGUCCUUCCUCCUGGAGGUGAAAUACAACCAACCGGACAGAAACAGUCACGUGUUCUCUGCCCAAACUCCCUUCAGAGGGGUUCUGUUUGGGGCCAUGACCAGGCUGAACGACUCUAGCCCAGAUUUCAACUUCACCUCCUCAACGAACGUCGACUACGGAGAGUUCCUGGUGAGCGUCAACGGUUUGUUUGGGAACGACCAAGACCGGACAUACUGGGAGCUGCUGGUUCAGAAAGACACCAACACCAUUAUCAGACCUGAUGUUGGUAGGUUUGUGUGUGUGUGUGUGUGUGUGUGUGUGUGUGUGUGUGUGUGUGUGUGUGUGUGUGUGUGUGUGUGUGUGUGUGUGUGUGUGUGUGUGUGUGUGUGUGUGUGUAUCUACGAUAAAUGAUCUUCUAACUUCCUAUGAAACAUAAAACUUUUACGUUGUUGCAGGGAUCAGCUGUUACAUUCCUCAGGCCAGGGAGAAGGUGAUCCUGAACUACACCACUUAUUAGACAGAGGUCCCGUCUUUGGAUCGCUCUCACUGGGAGAGUAUGGACCUUAUGCCCCUGGCGGCCAUCUUGGUUCUAACCUCAGCAGUAUUUAUGCUCCUGUUUGGAACCAAGAUGGCAGCUUUGUAAAUAAGGCCCAGGCUUUGGAACCCGGACGAUCACAUCUCAACCUGGCCUUGCUUGUUUUUUUGUUCCAUAAUAAUUUUGCGAUUAAAGACUUCUAGUGUAUAAACCUCAACCUGCCUCUGGUC